Molecule: ribosomal RNA, 474 nt
Filed under: uncultured Methanosaeta sp.
Lineage: Archaea; Methanobacteriati; Methanobacteriota; Methanomicrobia; Methanotrichales; Methanotrichaceae
Description: bacterial SSU rRNA
Rfam family: Archaeal small subunit ribosomal RNA
Source: RNAcentral
AAUUGACGGGGAGCACCACAACGGGUGGAGCUUGCGGUUUAAUUGGAUUCAACGGCCGAAAUCUUACCGGGACCGACAGCAAUAUGAAGGCCAGGCUGAAGACUUUGCCGGAUUAGCUGAGAGGUGGUGCAUGGCCGUCGUCAGUUCGUACUGUGAAGCAUCCUGUUAAGUCAGGCAACGAGCGAGACCCACGCCCACAGUUGCCAGCGUACUCUCUGGAGUGACGGGUACACUGUGGGACCGCCGCUGCUAAAGCGGAGGAAGGAAUGGGCAACGGUAGGUCAGUAUGCCCCGAAUAUCCCGGGCUACACGCGAGCUACAAUGGUUGGUACAAUGGGUAUCUACCCCGAAAGGGGACGGGAAUCUCCUAAAACCAAUCUUAGUUCGGAUUGAGGGCUGCAACUCGCCCUCAUGAAGCUGGAAUCCGUAGUAAUCGCGUUUCAACAGAACGCGGUGAAUACGUCCCUGCUCCUU